GCGGGGGAGGCUCCACGGUGGAGCACCGGACUGUAAAAUCCGGCGAGGCAGAGUCCUCACAGGGAGUUCGAUUCUCCCCUCCCGCA
Molecule: transfer RNA, 86 nt
Filed under: Gemmatimonadota bacterium
Lineage: Bacteria; Pseudomonadati; Gemmatimonadota
Description: Gemmatimonadetes bacterium tRNA-Tyr
Rfam family: tRNA
About the family: Transfer RNA (tRNA) molecules are approximately 80 nucleotides in length. Their secondary structure includes four short double-helical elements and three loops (D, anti-codon, and T loops). Further hydrogen bonds mediate the characteristic L-shaped molecular structure. tRNAs have two regions of fundamental functional importance: the anti-codon, which is responsible for specific mRNA codon recognition, and the 3' end, to which the tRNAs corresponding amino acid is attached (by aminoacyl-tRNA synthetases). tRNAs cope with the degeneracy of the genetic code in two manners: having more than one tRNA (with a specific anti-codon) for a particular amino acid; and 'wobble' base-pairing, i.e. permitting non-standard base-pairing at the 3rd anti-codon position.
Source: RNAcentral